AAAACAUUAAAAAUCUGAACUUAAUUGCAAUAAAUUGAUGCUAAAUAUUUAUAAAAAGCCAAUUCAAACAUACAUACAUACAUACAUACAUACAUACAUACAUACAUAUAUAUAUAACUAUACAAUAGCAAAAGUUCCAUCAGCUGCUAUGAAACCAGAAAAAAUCAAAAUGAUGAAAGAAGGAAAUAGUAUUUGUACUAAUCCUAGAAACAGUAAUUGCACUUCCUCUUAUUUUACUAGCAUAUUACUUAAAUAACUUCCAUUCCCAGAUUGUGUCUAAUGUGGUAGUGCAUCUUCAUUAAAGGUCAUCAGCUUAUAUGUCAGUAAUAAUGAAAAAUAAAAAUUCUUUAGAAUUUAUAUGUCAUAAAUAAUUUCUUUAUUAUUAUAAUUUGCUUUAUUUCAAA
This 404-nucleotide long non-coding RNA is filed under the name Androctonus crassicauda. Lineage: Eukaryota; Metazoa; Arthropoda; Arachnida; Scorpiones; Buthidae. The record is from RNAcentral.